Molecule: ribosomal RNA, 513 nt
Filed under: uncultured bacterium
Lineage: Bacteria
Description: partial 16S ribosomal RNA
Rfam family: Bacterial small subunit ribosomal RNA
Source: RNAcentral
GAUGAACGCUGGCGGCGUGCCUAAUACAUGCAAGUCGAGCGAACAGACGAGGAGCUUGCUCCUCUGACGUUAGCGGCGGACGGGUGAGUAACACGUGGAUAACCUACCUAUAAGACUGGGAUAACUUCGGGAAACCGGAGCUAAUACCGGAUAAUAUAUUGAACCGCAUGGUUCAAUAGUGAAAGACGGUUUUGCUGUCACUUAUAGAUGGAUCCGCGCCGCAUUAGCUAGUUGGUAAGGUAACGGCGUACCAAGGCAACGAUGCGUAGACGACCUGGGAGGGUGAUCGGCCACACUGGAACUGAGACACGGUCCAGACUCCUACGGGAGGCAGCAGUAGGGAAUCUUCCGCAAUGGGCGAAAGCCUGACGGAGCGACGCCGCGUGAGUGAUGAAGGUCUUCGGAUCGUAAAACUCUGUUAUUAGGGAAGAACAAAUGUGUAAGUAACUAUGCCCGUCUUGACGGUACCUAAUCAGAAAGCCACGGCUAACUACGUGCCAGCCGCCGCCGUAA